GCCUGGAUUAAUGCUCUGCUGUCCCUGUCUUGAAAUUCUUAGUGCUGUUUGGACAAGGAUCCCGGGUUUUCGUUGUGCAUGGGAUUCCACGCAUCGUGUGGCCUGUUUUGUCCAUGGCACGUGGCCAUCAGCCAGCCUGGCUCAGCCCCACGGUUUCUGAUGGACUAGCGUGGCCUGAGACCCUGUGCAGAGGGAGCCCAGGCCAGUGCGGAUGAGGCUCCCACUAGUUCUCUCUCUGUCUAAAUGGGCACAAACUGUACCCACAGCUAGCGGGGACUCCAUGGCAUCAGCUAAGGCUGCCACGGGAAGCCAGGAUUUCCGAGUGUAUUUAAUAAGCUAAUUCGAAUGCAGAUAUUAGAAGCUAUAGGACUGUCUUUCCUCCUCCCAGACGGUGUUUAAUGAUGAGCAAGGAGAGACAUGGAAAAGGAGCCAGUGCCCAUCCCCCCCCCCCCCAUCUCGCAAACCUAAAGGAGACCUGAGCUGGUGUGUGGAGCUCUACACUGGAUGUGAGUCGGGAGUUAGGUAAAACCAUCACUUUCAAGAACAGAGGAAUGCCAGCGGGAUGGGCGUGUGGCCGUUAUGAUGUCACCCAUCUUCAGAGACAAGACCUUGCCGAGCCGUCGCCCCCUGCUGGCCAUUAUGACAACCCGCGAUGACACCCCAGACCAGUCACGGGUGAAAGCCUGAAACCCACCAAGGAAAGGAGAUGUGUGAAAAUCAAUAUAGGAUGUGUGAAGGUACAAGUUAUGUGGAUACCAAAUAUAUGAGCACCACAACUUCUGUGAACAUAAAGGAAACUCCCCGAGACCUUACCCUGGGAUAACGCAAAUUCAGCUUGGCCUGGAUCUGCCCAGCUUUCAUCUCACUAACGUUGUCACAAGUGCUUUCCCGUCUAGAUUCUCACAGCACACUGGACAGAGCUCUUUGACGGCUAUCUACACACAAAAGGACUUCACUAGCAGGCCUGAUUCCUGUCCUACAAAUGGCUUGGUCAGCAUUCUGAGAACUUAUGUUUAGGGAAGAUUCAUGUUAUCCUAACUGGGCCACACAUCUGCGGAAUUUCCUAGGCUCAGGGUCCAGUUGGAGCUGUAGCUACCGGUCUACACCACAGCCACUGCAACGCAAGAUCUGAGCCACAUCUGCAACCUACACCACAGCUCAUGGCAAUACUGGAUCCUUAACCUAAUGAGCAAGGCCAGGGAUCGAACCCGCAUCCUCAUGGAUACUAGUCGGGUUCGUUACUGCUGACCCACAACAGGGACUCUGAACUAAUUUUUUUUUUUUCUCAUGGCCACGCCCGGGGUGUAUGAAGUCCCUGAGCCAGGGACUAAAUCUGAGCUGCAGCUGUGACUUAUGCCACAGCUGCAGCAAUGCUGGAUCCUUAACCCACUGCACUGGGCCAGGAAUCAAACCUGUGCCUCAGCAGCAACCUGGGACACUACAGUCGGAUUCUUAACCCACUGUGCCACAGCAGGACUCCGGGAACCAAUCCCUUUUAACCAUCUAUUAUGAACACACUACUUAUUAUUUCAAUGAAUUUUUAGAAAACCGCUAGAGAACUUUCUCUCCAUUUUACAGACCAGGAAGCCAAGUCUUACCUUAUUGCAGAGUUGGGAUUGGCAUCUGCCUGGGACUUUUUCUGCUGUGGCACAUUUGCCUCCAUAGGUGUCAAUCUGUUAGGUUGUCUACUAUUUGGCCCAAUAGCCCAGCUCACUAACCUCCUGUGCUGUGCUCUUUUCUCCCGGGGCUGCUGAAGUCCUUUUAUCUGAAUGAAGAGUGAGUGCAAAGCCCUACUUUGAAAAUACAGGCAGAUUAGCAGGGAGCCAUGUGGUCGUUCUGCUCAGAGAGGCACUGUUGAAAUCUGCAUGAGCAUGUAGCCAAAAAUACCCUCAGUGGUCCAGCAGUCCUUGCUAAACUGAGCACACAGGAAAUGCUCUUUAAUUAACACUGGCCGCAACUAUCUGAAAGAUAUUGUGCUGUUUGUGACUGUUCCCUGGCUGGCCUGAUGUUCCUGAUAGCUGCCUGUCAGCCCGAGUUCCCUAAUUGUCUCCAGCUUUCUGUGUUUAUUCAAGUUGUGCUUCAGUGAAUCCGGAAAGCAUUUCCUCUUCCUUCCCAGCUUGUGACGCUCCCACUUCAGCUUGUCAUACAACAGCUGUCACGUUGUGCGUGUGAGCAGUCCGGCAGAAUGACAUCCCUCUGUAUCCUGACUUGGCCCCGGGACUGUGGGAGGACAUCCCUCCCCACGGAGGCCGGGGAUUGAAGAACCAAGGACGUUCGCGCCUGACUGUAAACGCGCAAAAUGCAUUGGCGAGGUGUGGUCCCAGCAGAUGAUACAGAUGUGAACUGCGGAGAUUCCUGCAUCCUUGGUUUUACCCAUCCCCUCCCCUGAGGCUUAAAGACAGCAGGGAGCUGGGGCAUGCUUCUCAACACUGGCUACAAAGUGUGGUGAGAAUAAGGGGAGUCAGCUCCAGGUAAAAGGGGGGGCACUAGGAGAUCAGCCCGCAUAGCGUGAGGAAUGGGGUUAUAGGCAAUAGAAGAAAGUUCACCCUCAGUGGCAAAAGGGGUGAAAUAAUGCAACAUGGAUGGACCUAGAGCUUAUAUUCCAAAGAAUAUACCUACAUCAGACGAAGACAAGUAUCACAUGAUCUCACUCAUAUGUGGAAUCUAAAAAAAUGAUACAAAUGAAGUUAUAUAUGAAACAGAGACUCACGGACUGAGAAAACAAAAGUAUGGUUACCAAAGGGGAAAGGGUGGGGGCAGGAUAAAUUAGGAGAUUGGGGUGAGCAGACACACACUAUAAACAAAUUAGAUAACUAACAAAGCCCGAUUCUACAGCACAGAACUGCAUUCACUAUCUGGUGGUAGCAUCCCCACCUCUUUCCAAUAAUGGAAAAGAAUCGGCAGUUACGUAUAUCACAACCGAAUCACUUUGCUGUACACCUGAAAUGUAAAUCCACUAUAGUUCAAUUACAAAAUCACAGGAAAAAACACAUUCACUAAAUUUAAAAAAGACUUGAAGCAACAAAGUGGAUUCAGUUUGGGUUCAGACUGUGCUCAGGGAGGUCUGGAAAUAUUGCUAAAAGGAUUACAAAUUUAGUUACUACGUUAUAGUUUAAACCUUACCCUUUAAGAAGUAUGCAUCAUCAGUUCCUAUUUACAAACGAGGGUGUAAGAAAUGUGUCCAUUUUAACGUCAUUAGCGCAUAUGGUAGGGCCAGGAUGCCAUGAAUCCGGCUUGAAGUGAAAGCCAGUUCCCGUCAACCACGCCGCCCUGGGAUCAAAACCAAGGCAGGAGAAUCAAGCAGGAAUGCCAAAUCUGAACUCCUCAUCUUCUUCCAGAAAGGAGCCCUCCUUUGUUCCUUCCCUGUCUUGGUUAACGGCGUCAUGAUUCAGGAGGUCGCCAAGUCUGAAACCCCAGACCUAUCUUGAGGUUUCAGGAAACCCCGGCUUCUCCCUCAGUCUUCAAAACUCAGCUCUCAGGUCUCCUCCCGUGCGGGUCUCCCGGCACCUCUUCCAGGGCCAGCUCUGCUCAAGGCCUGCCCCUCCCUUCGCCUCGCCCACGGCAGCUGGGCAUCUCCAGGGUGAGGGACUGCAUUCCCCAGAUGUUUAGAUGCCCAGUGCACCCUCAGUGCCUGUCGCAUAGUUGGUCCUUUUAAUGAAUAAUACAGAGGAUAAGUGACAGUCAGAAUAUCAAGGAAAAUAUGUUUCUUUUUAUCUGUAACUUCUUUCCCUUUAGUACUGACUGGUAAGAGAAUUUUUCACCCAGGAAAAGUUUAAUACCAUAGCAGGCAUUGUCUUGGAUGGAAGUUUUAUAAGAUGUGCAAGCGGGAGAGUUCCCUGGUGGCCUAGUAGUUAAGGAUGUGGCCUUGUCACUGCUGUGGCUCGGGUUUGAUCCCUGGCUAGGGGAUUUCCACAUGCUGUGGGCAUGCCUAAAAAACCCCAAAACAAACAUAGGAGAUGUGUUCAUUUGACUAAUGGACAAUAUGUUUAUGGUUUUAAUAAUCACUAAUUAAGCUCUUCGAACACCAGAUGUUAGAGAACAUGGCUUCUCCAAAUUACUUCAUCAAACAUUCAGUAUAGAAGCUACUUUAGGCUUUUCAACAGGAUAAGAUUCAUACCGAAAGUCCUUUUGAUGUGGCAUUCAUCUGUCUUUCUAUUUAUCCCUCUCUCUUUCCAUCUACCUAAUAUAGACGUUGCAUAAAUGUCAUCCUGUCUCCUUUCCCUUUAAUUGCAUGUGGUUUAGCAGAAGUCAACCGGCAAGUCUGGGGCUAUGUGGCCUGAUGCGCUCCGCCUGUCUGAUCACCGUGCCACACUCGAGUCCCAUGUAACUGUUGUCAUUUGUUUCGCAAGCCUGGGAGAUACACAUGGUCAUAUCUCUAGCAUUUUUCCAAACAGACAUUUGAGAAGACCGUUUUUCUUAUUCUUAGGAAGUCCAGGAUCGCUCUUUUAAUGCUUCCUCUGCCCUUCUCAAUUGUCCAACAACCUUGAGGGUUUAAUUAACUUGGGGAGGAAGGCUGCGAUUUACCCUGCUUCCAAAUGCCAGCUGCAGAGAAAACUGGACAAGUGCUUCAGUCCGUAGCUGCCAUUGCUUUUGAUCACUGCAGCCAGCGACAGAUGGCUGGGGACUGGCUCUCUGUUGGUCCAAGGACUCACUGAAGCGCUCAGCUUAGAAUUCUAGGCGAAGGUUCCUUUCAGCCCACACCCGGAGCACAGCUGCUGGGCUGAGCUACAGCGCGCUUUCCGGCUUCCGUGAUCCCCAGGUUGGAACAGAUCCUCCCACACUCCUACGACCUUGCGUCAAAUGCGGGUCAUCAGGACUGACUUCUCUUGAACCAUGUGGAGCCUCUAAGGAUCUUUGCUGCCAGUGAGCCUGGGCAGAGCCUACCUGGCCCCUGGUUUCUCUAACUUACACUCGUCGGUAACCAGGAGUUCAGCCUUCCUCCCUCCUGCUCCCAAGUCCUUGGGCUCGAUAUGCACAUAAAUCCUACCUUGUCCUCAGAAAUUGAUCCUGCUUUUCAGGAUAUUUUGAGAAGGCGCUCGCCUUGUUCCCAUCUUCUUCCAGAGAGAGAAAUAGUGGGUUUUUCACUGAGGUCAACUCCGGUGCUAGAAGGAAACAAACUUAUUUUACAGGUUAUAAAAGUUGUUUUAGUUAUGUAUAGAAAUAGAUCUUUAAAAAACAUUCUCUCUCUCUUAUUAUCUGUCAACUCUUACCAAUCACCUGAGAUGCCUCCUUAGUGCAGGAGGUAGUGUGUCAGUCUCACAUCACCAAUUACGGGUCUGUAUCAUCUACUCUUACAAGGACUUCCUUCUCCAUGACUCAAGGGGGAAAAAUCACUAGAUGCGUCUGUUAACACUGCUGCUCUUUGGCACAGAUUUUAUCCCUAGCAUCACUGGCCACGGAAGUCAUGGUACCAAGGCCUGAGGAUAGAUUGAACCAUGCACUUCGAAUUUCUAGAGAAGCCUAUGGAACUGACUAAACGACAGGUCUACUGUUGAUGCGUUGAGCAUCCAUGAGAAGAACGUGUUUGAUAAGCAAGAGCUGUACUUUUCUUCAGCUGGUUACAAUGUGUCCCAGCGCUGUGAUGACUGUAACAUUUGACUGUAUUCUUCUUGGCCUGAAAAUUCAGAACUAAGUGGACAGGACUCUGUGGUACACAUUUAUUUGUUCUAAUGCUCCCUUUAAUUUAUCAAAAAUUGUUUACCUAUGUGGAGUUCCGGUCAUGGCUCAGCGGUAACGAACCUAACUAGUAUCCGUGUUCCAUCCCUGGCCACGCUCAGUGGGUUAAAGGAUCCGGCGUUGCCAUGAGCUCUGGCGCAGGCUGGCAGCUGUAGCUCCGAUGAGACCCCUAGCCUGAGAACAUCCAUAUGCCAUGGGUGCGGCCUUAAAAAGACAAAAAAAAAAAAAGUUUACC
RNAcentral lists this long non-coding RNA (5911 nucleotides) under Sus scrofa (pig). Its description in RNAcentral is "lncRNA (ENSSSCG00040013454.1)". Lineage: Eukaryota; Metazoa; Chordata; Mammalia; Artiodactyla; Suidae. The record is from RNAcentral.